UACCCCAUCCAUUCGAGGGUAACUCUAUUGUGACUAGCGUAGAUGGCAACGUUUGGGUUAGAAAGCUCACGAAACAAUGUAGAAAACUUAAAAGUUGACUUUUAAAACAGCAUCAUUUAAAAAAUCAC
This is a non-coding RNA of Pelosinus fermentans B4, 128 nucleotides long. Lineage: Bacteria; Bacillati; Bacillota; Negativicutes; Selenomonadales; Sporomusaceae. The record is from Rfam.